UUCGAACCUAACAUCUCUACCUA
This 23-nucleotide non-coding RNA is filed under the name Arabidopsis thaliana (thale cress). The record is from RNAcentral. Lineage: Eukaryota; Viridiplantae; Streptophyta; Magnoliopsida; Brassicales; Brassicaceae.